CUCCUUGUCUUGCUUUUUCUUUUCUUCUAAGUACAUUUAAAAACAUGAAAUUCUGCAACUCCUGCCUCAAAUUCAGUAGUUCAAAUAAAUCUAGGACAUGGUUUCCCCGCCCAAAAUAUGUAUUUAAAUAUUAAUCCAUCUCCCCCAAGUAGGUCCAAAACUUAGAAUGCUUCCUAUAAUGUUCAGACUAAAACCCAAAGUGGAUUCUCCAUUCUGUUGAUAUUACAGAUACCAUCUCUAAGGAUAAAGCCAACCCUGAGUCAAGACGAUUAAAAUCUGUAGCCGUUGAGAUUACCCUGUGAUCAUUCAUGCUGCUGCCUUGUUACUAUCGCAACACAUUUCUGGGGCAUGCUUUCUGAGAAUGAGAGUUUCCAGUUUGCCAAACUUUAGAAAAAUUAGGAACUUGCAGGCUGUGUGUCAUCUAAAAGCAGAGAAACUAAUGGAGAUCUGUCUUCAGUGGUAGCAGCCAAUGGCGUCUCUUCCACUAGGGUGGUGAAUUUGUUCUGAGUUUUGUCUGAACUUUAAAGCAGCUAUCGAAGAUAUUAAGCCUGUUUGGGGUUAAGAGUGUUGUAUGGCUCAUUUCAAGGGAGCGAUUCAACUCCUCAGUGACAUGGAAUUGGGAAUUCAAUAGCAGGUGAGGUCAAAUAAGCGCCUCCAUUUCUUUGUCACUGUUGUAAGAAUCUAGUCUUCUCCAUCUCAUUCUCACAGCUGCCCUGUGUCCUUUUCUCCUAGAUUCUGUUAAAUGUGCAAAAUUCUGACAUUCGAAUAUACCUGGAAUGUGGAUGCUCCAUAAAUGUGCCAUAUUUGUUCUGAUCAAAGAAUGGUAUGGGCAAUGGAGCAAGCAUGGAGAUUUAAAUAUCAACACAGCAACAUAGGAAACACACUGUUGAACAUUUUUGAGUUAACAGCUGCUUUUACAAUAGGUCUCUCCUUUUUACAGUUCCAAAUUUUCCCUCCUACUGAAAUAUCUGUUUCCCAUUAUUUUCCCCAAGAUAAAUGGUAUGCAUAGUUCUAAGCUGAAUCUCACACUAUUAUUUCCUGCCCAUAUGGUGUCUCGAAAACCAAGGAGUCAUAAAAUAGUCUGAUGAUGCAUUGCAUGAGAAGUAAUGCUUUUAUUUAUUUUUAAAGAAAAAAGUAAAUUGUUAUAUUGUGCUUUGUUUAUGAAUGGAGUAAAAGUGAAGGAGACGCCCUAAUCCUAAACAUGCUGGACUUGAUUCUAAAGUGCCUAUGAACAACUUCAUAUGCACUUUUAAACUAUUGGAAGAUCAUAGGGAGAUAGAAACGUGAAGCAUAUGUUCUCUGGCAGAAGAUUUGAGUACACGUUUACAGAUGGACCCAGCUAAUGCUCCCUUUGACUCAAGUCUCACUUACCUAGUAGUAUCUGCAGACAUUAUUUUCUACAUUGUAGAAUUACAAUGCCAUAGAAAUCAUAUGAGUUGUAGGCAGAGGUGGUCCAACAAUGAGGCGAAUUAGGCAGUUGCCUGUGGUGCAAAACAUACGGGGGCGCAGUCGAGACUGCUUUUUCUGUUGAUUUGUUGUAAAACAUGAUGUUUUGGUGCUUAGUUUGUAAAAUCUUAAUGUAAUUUGAUGUUUAAUAGGCUUUCCCUUAAUCCCUCCUUAUUAUCCAACAUUUUCACUUAUCCAAUGCUUUUAGUUUUCAGUGAUUGGUUUUGGGGAGGGGGGCAAAAUUCUGUUUGCCUACACUUGAAAAAUACCUAGGGCCGGCUCUGGUUGUAGGUUUACAAGAUCUUUAGCUUCUUUGUCAAUCAUUACUGCGACCUCAUAACACUGGGGAUUUUGGGGUUCUUGCUCCUCUUUGGCCACAGGUCCUGCCGAUUGCCAUCUCAUGAUGCAGUCUGUGGCCCCACCCCAUGGCCAAAAUGGCAAGGAAAAUGGCAAGAUGCUUCCUUGCCAACAAUGAAAGGUAAGGUGUCUUUUGGGUAGCUACCUGCAGUUUUGGCCUUUUCCCUCUGUCUGAUGGUGGAAAGGGCAAUGCGGCAAUGCAUGUUGCCACCUCUUCCCCUGUCUGAUGGGGGCAGGGACAGGAUGCCAAUGUGCUUUGCCUUGGUGCCCCCAUGUGAUGGGAGAAGCAGGGGGGAUCAAUAUGAUGAGGUCCCUGGUGUCUCACCAAACUACAAAUCCCAGAAUUCUAGAAUAUGAACUCAUGGCAGUUAAAGCUGUGUCAAACUGUAUUAAUACUAGAGUGUAUGUGAACUCUUAGUUGUGAAGAAGAAAGACACAACAGUAUAUCAACUGAACUCUGCAGCAUUACUGCUAUGGACCAGAAUUCUACUUACCACAUUGACUAAUGGAUUCCGGGAGUUGUUAUCCAUAAAUGUAUCUUUUCCAAGCUCUAGUUCAGAACAUGAGCUAGUGCUAAUUUUGCCAGUAGUCCUGAACUCUCUGUUGCCAGAUACAUAUUUCAGAAACCUUGUCUGCUCACUCAGGUCUUUGACUGUUAACUGUCUGAUGCAGAAGUUCAUUUACUUGGGGUGUUGUAUUUUAAUGUUAUAAUUGUGUUUUAUACAUCCAUUUUUAACAUGUACAUAUCCAUCAUUUUAACUGUAUUUUGUUUUAACUCAUAUUGGCUGAUAUUCUGUUAGUGACUUAUGCACUACACACUAUGGAGGGAACACGGAAACAUUACUUCUUCUGGACUACAGUUUCUGUCAUCCUCCAAUCAACACGACCACAAAUCAUGCGGCAAGAGGAGUCUAAGUAUUCUAAUUAAAAGGGGACCCACAAGAAAAAGGAUGCUGCCUUCUGCCAGAGGACAUGAUAAGCUGGCCAUAGAGAGAAGCUCUGUGGUUUGUUUAGCCACUCCUUCUGCAAGUGGAGGGAUCAAACGGAUCGUGCUGUCAUGCUGUUUGUUCACAAAAUGCAAAAGUUCCAGUGGAUUCCCAGUUUGUUGUGUUAUCAGAACACACCCACUGAGUCAUCUACCUUUAGUGAAGAGCCUUCAUGAAGCUAUGAAGGACUGUGUGGAUCAGAGCAGAAACCUUUUUCAUCCAGCAUUCAAUUUCCCACAAAGCAACAUCCUACUCAUGUACCCCAGCAAGUGGUGUUUAUUCAGAAGCAUAUCUCAUAACUUGAAAUGAACUGUAUCUUGUGGCCUAUUGCUCUGAAGUCUUUUUGAUGCAGAUAUGCUAAUGAACAAUGGCUCUACCAAGUUUCAAGUAAGCGUUUGAUUCUGGAAGUGUCAGGGGAUGAACCUGUGACUGUCUGGAUAUAGACCACAUGAUCUCUUUCUUUAAGGAUAAAUAAAAAACAUGACCAUUUUA
Anolis carolinensis (green anole) is the source of this 3281-nucleotide long non-coding RNA. RefSeq lists it as uncharacterized. NCBI's taxonomy places the organism in Eukaryota, Metazoa, Chordata, Lepidosauria, Squamata, Anolidae. The transcript is spliced from 2 exons. The record is from RefSeq and is a predicted model, not a curated record.